CAGAGGGAAUUCCCGGUGUAGCGGUGAAAUGCGUAGAUAUCGGGAAGAACACCAGUGGCGAAGGCGNUCUGCUGGGCCAUUACUGACGNUCAUGGACGAAAGCCAGGGGAGCGAAAGGGAUUAGAUACCCCUGUAGUCCUGGCCGUAAACGAUGAACACUAGGUGUCGGGGGAAUCGACCCCUUCGGUGUCGUAGCUAACGCGUUAAGUGUUCCGCCUGGGGAGUACGCACGCAAGUGUGAAACUCAAAGGAAUUGACGGGGGCCCGCACAAGCGGUGGAGUAUGUGGUUUAAUUCGAUGCAACGCGAAGAACCUUACCAGGGUUUGACAUCCUGCGAACCUCUUAGAAAUUUGAGGGUGCCUUCGGGAAUGCAGUGACAGGUGGUGCAUGGCUGUCGUCAGCUCGUGUCGUGAGAUGUUGGGUUAAGUCCCGCAACGAGCGCAACCCACGUUUUUAGUUGCCAGCAUUUAGUUGGGCACUCUAGAAAGACCGCCGGUGAUAAACCGGAGGAAGGUGUGGAUGACGUCAAGUCAUCAUGCCCCUUACACCCUGGGCUACACACGUACUACAAUGCUACGGACAAAGGGCAGCAAACUCGCGAGAGCUAGCAAAUCCCAUAAACCGUGGCUCAGUUCAGAUCGUAGGCUGCAACUCGCCUACGUGAAGUAGGAAUCGCUAGUAAUCGCAGGUCAGCAUACUGCGGUGAAUACGUUCCCGGGCCUUGUACACACCGCCCGUCACACCAUGGAAGUUGGCCAUGCCCGAAGUCGUUACUCCAACCCUUGUGGAGGAGGACGCCGAAGGUGGGGCUAAUGACUGGGGUGAAGUCGUAACAAGGUAGCC
Molecule: ribosomal RNA, 844 nt
Filed under: uncultured marine microorganism
Description: bacterial SSU rRNA
Rfam family: Bacterial small subunit ribosomal RNA
Source: RNAcentral